CCUACGGGCGGCAGCAGUGAGGAAUAUUGGUCAAUGGGCGCGAGCCUGAACCAGCCAAGUAGCGUGAAGGAUGACUGCCCUACGGGUUGUAAACUUCUUUUAUAAAGGAAUAAAGUGAGGCACGUGUGCCGUUUUGUAUGUACUGUAUGAAUAAGGAUCGGCUAACUCCGUGCCAGCAGCCGCGGUAAUACGGAGGAUCCGAGCGUUAUCCGGAUUUAUUGGGUUUAAAGGGAGCGUAGAUGGGUUGUUAAGUCAGUUGUGAAAGUUUGCGGCUCAACCGUAAAAUUGCAAUUGAUACUGGCAGCCUUUAGUACAGUUGCGUUCGGCGGCAUUCGUGUUGUAGCUGUGACAUGCUUCGCUCUCACGCAGAACUCCGCUUGCGAAGGCAGCCUACUAAACUGCCACUGACAUUGCUGCUCGAACGUGUGGGUAUCACACAGGAUUAGCUACCCGAGUAGUC
Molecule: ribosomal RNA, 460 nt
Filed under: uncultured bacterium
Lineage: Bacteria
Description: partial 16S ribosomal RNA
Rfam family: Bacterial small subunit ribosomal RNA
Source: RNAcentral